Molecule: ribosomal RNA, 473 nt
Filed under: uncultured bacterium
Lineage: Bacteria
Description: bacterial SSU rRNA
Rfam family: Bacterial small subunit ribosomal RNA
Source: RNAcentral
GCCGCAAGGUUAAAANCUCAAAGGAAUUGACGGGGGCCCGCACAAGCGGUGGAGUAUGUGGUUUAAUUCGACGCAACGCGAAGAACCUUACCUGGGCUUGACAUCCUCUGACAGCUCCGGAAACGGAGUCUUCCCCGGUUUACCGGGACAGAGUGACAGGUGCUGCAUGGCUGUCGACAGCUCGUGUCGUGAGAUGUUGGGUUAAGUCCCGCAACGAGCGCAACCCUUGUCUUUAGUUGCCAGUAUUAAGUUAGGCACUCUAAAGAGACUGCCUCGGUUAACGAGGAGGAAGGUGGGGAUGACGUCUAGUCCUCAUGGCCUUUAUGCCCAGGGCUACACACGUACUACAAUGGACUGUACAAAGGGUCGCUACACUGCAAAGUGAUGCUAAUCCCAAAAAGCAGUCCCCAGUUCGGAUUGGAGUCUGCAACCCGACUCCAUGAAGUGGGAAUCGCUAGUAAUCGUGGAUCAGA